AGCCUGAUCCAGCCAUGCCGCGUGCAGGAUGACGGUCCUAUGGAUUGUAAACUGCUUUUGCACAGGAAGAAACAACAUUACGUGUAAUGUCUUGACGGUACUGUGAGAAUAAGGAUCGGCUAACUCCGUGCCAGCAGCCGCGGUAAUACGGAGGAUCCAAGCGUUAUCCGGAAUCAUUGGGUUUAAAGGGUCCGUAGGCGGUUUAGUAAGUCAGUGGUGAAAGCCCAUCGCUCAACGGUGGAACGGCCAUUGAUACUGCUAGACUUGAAUUAUUAGGAAGUAACUAGAAUAUGUAGUGUAGCGGUGAAAUGCUUAGAGAUUACAUGGAAUACCAAUUGCGAAGGCAGGUUACUACUAAUGGAUUGACGCUGAUGGACGAAAGCGUGGGUAGCGAACAGGAUUAGAUACCCUGGUAGUCCACGCCGUAAACGAUGGAUACUAGCUGUUGGGAGCGAUUUCAGUGGCUAAGCGAAAGUGAUAAGUAUCCCACCUGGGGAGUACGUUCGCAAGAAUGAAACUCAAAGGAAUUGACGGGGGCCCGCACAAGCGGUGGAGCAUGUGGUUUAAUUCGAUGAUACGCGAGGAACCUUACCAAGGCUUAAAUGUAGAUUGACCGGUUUGGAAACAGACUUUUC
RNAcentral lists this ribosomal RNA (635 nucleotides) under Flavobacterium sp. Ri2Ps_4975. RNAcentral's name for it is "bacterial SSU rRNA". It matches the Rfam family "Bacterial small subunit ribosomal RNA", at positions 380 to 1016 of the family's 1533-position model. Lineage: Bacteria; Pseudomonadati; Bacteroidota; Flavobacteriia; Flavobacteriales; Flavobacteriaceae. The record is from RNAcentral.